RNAcentral lists this ribosomal RNA (255 nucleotides) under Vibrio parahaemolyticus. RNAcentral's name for it is "partial 16S ribosomal RNA". It matches the Rfam family "Bacterial small subunit ribosomal RNA", at positions 347 to 594 of the family's 1533-position model. The record is from RNAcentral. Lineage: Bacteria; Pseudomonadati; Pseudomonadota; Gammaproteobacteria; Vibrionales; Vibrionaceae.
GGCAGCAGUGGGGAAUAUUGCACAAUGGGCGCAAGCCUGAUGCAGCCAUGCCGCGUGUGUGAAGAAGGCCUUCGGGUUGUAAAGCACUUUCAGUCGUGAGGAAGGUAGUGUAGUUAAUAGCUGCAUUAUUUGACGUUAGCGACAGAAGAAGCACCGGCUAACUCCGUGCCAGCAGCCGCGGUAAUACGGAGGGUGCGAGCGUUAAUCGGAAUUACUGGGCGUAAAGCGCAUGCAGGUGGUUUGUUAAGUCAGAUG